This 489-nucleotide ribosomal RNA is filed under the name Stagonosporopsis cucurbitacearum. RNAcentral's name for it is "eukaryotic LSU rRNA". The stretch from base 150 to 303 matches the Rfam family "5.8S ribosomal RNA". The record is from RNAcentral. Lineage: Eukaryota; Fungi; Ascomycota; Dothideomycetes; Pleosporales; Didymellaceae.
AUCAUUACCUAGAGUUGCGGGCUUUGCCUGCCAUCUCUUACCCAUGUCUUUUGAGUACCUUCGUUUCCUCGGCGGGUUCGCCCGCCGAUUGGACAAAACUUAAACCCUUUGUAAUUGAAAUCAGCGUCUGAAAAAAACAUAAUAUUUACAACUUUCAACAACGGAUCUCUUGGUUCUGGCAUCGAUGAAGAACGCAGCGAAAUGCGAUAAGUAGUGUGAAUUGCAGAAUUCAGUGAAUCAUCGAAUCUUUGAACGCACAUUGCGCCCCUUGGUAUUCCAUGGGGCAUGCCUGUUCGAGCGUCAUUUGUACCUUCAAGCUUUGCUUGGUGUUGGGUGUUUGUCUCGCCUCUGCGCGCAGACUCGCCUCAAAACGAUUGGCAGCCGGCGUAUUGAUUUCGGAGCGCAGUACAUCUCGCGCUUUGCACUCACAACGACGACGUCCAAAAAGUACAUUUUUACACUCUUGACCUCGGAUCAGGUAGGGAUACC